This 452-nucleotide long non-coding RNA is filed under the name Monodelphis domestica (gray short-tailed opossum). RNAcentral's name for it is "lncRNA (ENSMODG00000032598.2)". The record is from RNAcentral. Lineage: Eukaryota; Metazoa; Chordata; Mammalia; Didelphimorphia; Didelphidae.
GGAAACCGUGUCCUACACAUAUGGACUGCUCCUCUGUACGCUUAGAGAGGUACGCUUGCCAAGGGCACUUGUCCUAACUCUGUUUUUCAUUAACAUUCAGUGAAUCCAUGGCAGUUGCAGGCUGGAUUUAGCCGCACACGCGUUGGCUGUUGGCUUGGUAGAUCUUUUUGAGGACUUGAAGGAAACCAGAGAACCCAAGAGGCAGAGACAAGGAGGGAAAGAAUUCCAGACAUGGGUGGACAGCCAGGGAAAAUGUUCCAGAGCUGGAAGAUGGAGUGUUCCACAAAGAACCAGGAGGCCAGUGUCUCUGGAGAAAGAGAGAUGAACUAGAUCAGAAGAAUCCAACUUGAGAGUCAGCAGCCCAAACAGUCCAUAAAACUCUGAAGUGCAGUCUCAACUAGAUUAAAAUGUAAUUGGAAUGUCUUUAACAAAACAAAUAAAAAUACAAUUCA